This 639-nucleotide long non-coding RNA is filed under the name Neogale vison (American mink). RNAcentral's name for it is "Neovison vison (American mink) lncRNA (ENSNVIG00000000741.1)". The record is from RNAcentral. Lineage: Eukaryota; Metazoa; Chordata; Mammalia; Carnivora; Mustelidae.
ACCCCUUUUACUUUUUUUUUUUUUUUUUUUUUUUUUUAGGUUGGCUCCAUGCCCAGUGUGGGGCUUGAACUCACGACCCGGGGAUCAAGAGUCACACGCUCUUCCAACUGGGCCACCCAGACCCCCUAGGCAUGUGUGUCUUAAGCAAGUGUUCUCGUGCUUCUGAAGCAGGUUUUCCAUCGGGUCCUUGUGGCUGGCCUCCUGAACCCCAGCGGAGAGAAGCCUGUCCGGCAGGCACCCGUGCGCACUCACCUUACCAGCAGACAGCUGAAGUGUGGAAAGUGGUAAGUGAUUAGCCGAGGGCACACAACUGGUCAUAGUAGAAUCCCAGAUGGAGAGUACGUUUUCUCGGUCCAAGCUCUGAACCCUUCCCAUGGUGACAGUCAUACGCUCUGCUUGUUCACCAUCAACUAUUAACAAGUGGAACCUGUGACCAGACUUUGAGCAGAUUUUCUUUUCUAUCCAGUUUGAGCCUGUUUUUAAUGACAGAGAACCAAUUCAAACCGAGAAUUUGGACCACUUCAUGCUGACGUAACCUUGGCUUCCUGAAGCAGUAGGUUAAUAGCUUGACCUAUGUUACAAAUAACUUGCUAGUCUUUAAAAAAUAAAAAGAUUUAUCCACUUACUUUAGAGGGAGAC